GUUCUUGUAGUUGAGGGUGUUCAACGGUGGUUUUUCAAGCCACAAGCCUUGGAUAAAAGCCAAGCAAGAACU
This 72-nucleotide transfer RNA is filed under the name Vanellus vanellus. Its description in RNAcentral is "tRNA-Glu". It matches the Rfam family "tRNA". From Rfam's summary of the family: Transfer RNA (tRNA) molecules are approximately 80 nucleotides in length. Their secondary structure includes four short double-helical elements and three loops (D, anti-codon, and T loops). Lineage: Eukaryota; Metazoa; Chordata; Aves; Charadriiformes; Charadriidae. The record is from RNAcentral.